Molecule: long non-coding RNA, 1014 nt
Organism: Panicum virgatum (switchgrass)
Lineage: Eukaryota; Viridiplantae; Streptophyta; Magnoliopsida; Poales; Poaceae
Exons: 3
Source: RefSeq, a predicted model, not a curated record
AAUUCCAUUUAAUGAACUUAUUCACAUUCCAAGUUAGCCUUAAGAACCAAAAUAUUUAAAAAUGUGAUUGCACGAGAUAUCAUUUUUAGAUGUUUUAAGUAGAGUGAAAGGCAAAAAUUAUUAUGGAGAAUGAAUGUAGGUUUAGAAGAUGAAGUUCAAUAAAGUGAUUAUACUCCCCUUCGCUAAUCCACACUUCCAAUCAUGCCUCUUUACAUUUGAUACCCAGCUCAAAAAUUUUAAGAAGAGCGCACUGAUACUUGAAAGUUUUCAGUCAGGGCUCAGCUUUCUUCCAACUAAAGCAUUUCAUAGCUUAGAUAGCUGAAAAUUUUGUGUCGGGGCUCAAGUUUCUUCCAAGAAAAGCAUUUCAUGUGGAGAUGCAAACAUUGAGUGGCUAAAGUGAUUCCAUAUUGCAGGCUGGGUCAAUAGAAGGGCAAGUGGUUGAAAUUGGACUGGCUUCUACUUCGCUGAUAAAUACUGAAAAGCUCCCUGUUAUAGUUCCUAAUUCCCUAUUCUCCAGCCAAAUGAUAGUGAACAAAUCGAGGGCCCAUGGGCAUGUUACCUUGUCCAAACUUCCUUUAAGAACUGAAGAUAUUGAAAAGAUUCCUACUAUAACAGAAGAGAUAAAAGCAAUGUUGGUGUCCAACCCAAAAAUUGAUGCUCCUUACUGCUAUCUCUCACGGUUAGAAGGUCCACGUGGAGAGCUUACAAUUGGCUGCAACAUCAAAAGUACUAAAACAGAGGAGUGGUCAUCUAUAGAACAAGAUAUCCUCCUGAAAGCUGCCGGUAUCAUGAAGCGACAUCAACUCUGGACGACCGUGUGAAUCAACAGCAUGUGUGAUAGUUUCAGAAGAUGAAAAAUCUGUGGCAAGAUAUCCGAUGCUCAUAUGGGAGGGAGGACGUGUGUAAAUACUGCUCUUUCUUCUUUCAUCUAUCUUACUGUUACAGGAAAAAGAGACAUAAGCAGGGGAUGAAUUACCUAUACAGUUUGUCUAUGUGAUAAUUACAGUUGGUUGA